CAAUAGCGUAUAUUAAAGUUGUUGCAGUUAAAAAGCUCGUAGUUGGAGUUCAGGGUGAGCUCAGCCGGUCGGCCUCAUGGGUCAGAACUGGUUGACUCUCUCUUGUUUGUGGAUCCCGCCGGGAGUUAACUCUCUCGAUGUGGAGUCCACAUCGUUUACCUUGAAAAAAUUAGAGUGUUCAAAGCAGGCGUUUGCUUGAAUAUAUUAGCAUGGAAUAAUGGAAUAGGACGCUGGUUCUAUUUUGUUGGUUUGAGAGCCAGAGUAAUGAUUAAUAGGGACAGUUGGGGGCAUUCAUAUUUCAUUGUCAGAGGUGAAAUUCUUG
This 322-nucleotide ribosomal RNA is filed under the name uncultured eukaryote. Its description in RNAcentral is "bacterial SSU rRNA". It matches the Rfam family "Eukaryotic small subunit ribosomal RNA", at positions 592 to 922 of the family's 1831-position model. The record is from RNAcentral.